RNAcentral lists this ribosomal RNA (402 nucleotides) under uncultured bacterium. RNAcentral's name for it is "bacterial SSU rRNA". It matches the Rfam family "Bacterial small subunit ribosomal RNA", at positions 29 to 417 of the family's 1533-position model. The record is from RNAcentral.
AACGAACGUUGGCGGCGUGGAUGAGGCAUGCAAGUCGAACGCGAAAGCCGCAAGGCGAGUAAAGUGGCGGACGGGCGAGUAACACGUAAUCAAGCUACCUGCGAGACGGGGAUAACUUCGGGAAACCGAAGCUAAGACCCGAUGGUCUUCUAGGAACGCAUGUUCCAUGAAGUAAAUGGGCGGGAUCCUCCGGGAUCGCCUGCUCGCAGAGGUGAUUGCGGCCCAUCAGCUAGUUGGUAGGGUAAUGGCCUACCAAGGCAACGACGGGUAGCCGGCCUUAGGGGGUGGUCGGCCGCACUGGGACUGAGACACUGCCCAGACUCCUACGGGAGGCUGCAGUCGAGAAUCUUCCGCAAUGGGCGAAAGCCUGACGGAGCGACGCCGCGUGGAGGAUGAAGGCCU